Alosa alosa (allis shad) is the source of this 1277-nucleotide long non-coding RNA. RefSeq lists it as uncharacterized. The transcript has 3 exons. NCBI's taxonomy places the organism in Eukaryota, Metazoa, Chordata, Actinopteri, Clupeiformes, Clupeidae. The record is from RefSeq and is a predicted model, not a curated record.
AAAUGUGAUGAAAUGAACUCCGAUGUUCCAGAUGCAGCAUCAAGACAUCCUGCCGCAAGAGAAGACCAUGGAGUCAAGAAGAAAUCUGCGCUGUUGAGAAGACCCUGAUGAAAUUUAUCACUACAGGCAGAACUCCUGCGUUUCUUGUAUCAACUCAGCACCUGAAGCACUUAAGUUCCGUGACUGGAUGUCAGUUAAGUUUUAUGUCAAAAAUCGUUGUGUGUCCUACCAAAGAACCACACAGACCCUUUUAUAGCAAUUUGAUAAGAAUGAGUUUGGGGGUGGGAGAUGGGAAUGUGUUCAGUUUUCUUAACAGGGCUUGAGCAUUUCAGAGGACCACACAAUACAUGCCCUGUACUUACACAGUAUUCUUGUUUAUAUUUUAUGUUGGCAGAGGGUCAGCAAUGUUUUUGUCAUUGGUAUUACAGUACAUGCACUUUAUUUUAACAGUACUUAAAUGAUUUUAGGUUGGGAGAGGGUCAAUUGUGUACUUUCGUUGUUAAUACUACAUGCUCAUACAAACAGGCUUUAGAGGAAAAUUAAUGAUGCUCAUGAUUGUAAUAAUGUUGAAGUGUAAAGAGUUGCGUGUGAGAAGAAGGUACAUUGUAUCCUUGUUGACGAGGUUCGUUAAAAAUAUUCUGACAACACAAUUUUUUUUAUUCAUUUUAAUAUUUCUUUUAUUUUCAUUAUUCACUUGGUAUCUGCAAUGCCUGAGUAGAUAUUUUAUAUUGAGAAGGUAUCUGCUUUUUCACAUGGUGUUGACUGUAGCAUUACUAGCACUUUCAGAAAUAAUGUACGCUAAUAACUAUCACAACAAUCUACCUCAUAACGUUCUAAUGAAGUGUGGUUGUGCAUUCUGGCACUGUGUUAAGCAGCCAAUAAAUGUGUUGAUUGCUACUGUUUUUAUUUCUUUCCUUGUGUAUAAUGUGAUAGCUUCAACUUGGUGUCAUGAGGCAGGUCUCACGAGUAUUUCCAAAACAACAGUAAAUCCUCAAAUACCUCAUGGUAUUAUAGUAUAAGAUGCAUUGCAACUUGAACAAAUGUGGUUUACAUUACAUGUGCUCCUUCAGAAUGGUUUUCAGUAUAUCCAAGAAAAUACAGAAGUUGGUCCCCAGAUUGCACUGUGCUUGUUGAUUACAUCACUUGGGUGGGCGUAACUAUGGGCGGGGCCAGAGUCCUCACUUUGACCACCUGACACCUGUCCCCUGUGGCUGGUCAGGAGUCAGGUGUCAGACUAACUUCAGGUGUCCCCAGGCGGUGAUAAAGAUGGGUAUGUG